UUUUUUUUAACUCAACAUCAACUUAUCAUUAGCCAAAUGUUUUGAUACAAACAAUUGUGACCACAAUGCCUCAAGAGGCUUUAACCACAAUGUGAUAUAUGGAAGUAGAUGUAGCAUCAUCUAAGAUCACUUAUUUGGAUCCUACAUUGCCUCAUCUAACUACCUAUCACUUUGACCACCAUGGAAACAAAUUCACUUUACCAAAAUGGUGAAAAUGAACUGUCCCUUAAACCACUAAUUACACGAGCAUUGACUAAAACUGAAAACUAGACUUAACAGAUGAAUUCCAAACUAAGACCUUGCUGGAGAUCACCACUUAAUUGACAUUCAGAACUUGGAUCAUACCAACUCAACGCCAAGGCGCAUACUUCACCCUCAAGUCCCGUCCAGAUAUCAGUCGUACUCCAGCCUUAUUAUAUGGAUUCCAAGCCAAAAGAACCACAUAAUGAGAAGAUACCUUAGUUGCAGAUUUCUUUUCAAACACAGAAACGGGUUCCCCACCAAACUGGUGCGUAAACUGCCACACAAGACCUUCCAUCACGAGUUCCUAGUCUUGACUCCAAAACCGAGCCGCCGGAACAGAGCGAAACAACAUCUCCAAGAGCAUGAGUUUCAGUUCUUCCGGAAUGAAGAAAAGACGGGUUCAGAUGUCGAAUCCAACCGGAGCUCAUCCACUAACGCCUGCGAAAGAACACUGAAGCUCGGAGGAGAGCGACGACGGCACAUAUUAGACAUCUACGGAGGUACACGGAGCGACAAGGGGAAAAUAGCUCCAUCCAAAAUCCAACCCUAAAAGCCGACCUCCGAUAACGACACCUUCCUGACUCAACUCGCUGUGACUCCAGAAACUCGGAAACCGCACUACACGGCCAGAUCUGAGAUCUGAAGAGCCGAAGAAGCCAGAGUUCACACGCAUCUCGCUGAGGGGAAGGGACGUUAACGAAGGCAAAAGGAAAAGGAGAAAAAAGAAGGUAAAGGGUGACUCUCCGGCGACGACACAGCGACAACGCCGCCGGAGAAACGCGGCGGGUUAGGGUUUCUACUGACUCUCUCUCUCUUUAUCGUAUUUAAUUUGUUGAUGUAUUUAUGAUAUGCAUUCUUGUGUUGACCAAGUUGGGCAUAAAAACACAAACAUUUAUUGGUCCACUUGUUAAUAUUAAUCUCUUCAAAGAGCAUCAUUAUUGAACAUUACAUUGGCAUGUUCUCGAACACACAUAUUUUUUUUUUUUUUUAUGUUUUGAGAUCUUUCAUCCAAAACUCCAAAUAUGUUUUCUCCGUUUUAUAAUACAAAACUGGUACCUGACUUAAUUAUUUGUUUUACUAAUAAUGACAUUUUAUAAAUUAAUACAGCUUUUAUGCAGUUUUAAUUUUAACCCUAUACGUAAUGUAAUAAUAAAUUACAUAUAUAAUAAUUUUAGUUUGUAAAAAGUGUGAAGAAAAUAUAAAAUUACAUUUAACAAAAGGAAUGAAGUUUGUUCACAAGUUUUUUUUCCAACAAAUCUAAGCAUAAAUUUAAUAUUUUUAAAACAUGUUAACUAAGCAUAAAAUAUAUGAAAACUGUAUUGAUUGUUUAUAGGGGCUCUUGUUUAUAUAUACCCUCAUAUUUAUGUUCUAUACUAUUAUUUGCGAAGUAAAUUUUUGGAAUCAAGCUCUCACAUUAAAAGUUAGAGCGGUUAAUAUCUAUAAUACUCUUAAUAAAUUUUAUAUAUAAUUAAUUAUAUAAUCAAAAACGAAUUUUAUUAAUAAUAUUAACUUUUUUUAAAAUAAGAUAAUUCGUAUAUAUUGUGUUGUUAUCUUAAACAUAUUUUUUAAUUAUAAAAUAUAAAACAAUUAUAAUAAAUUCAGUGGUUAAAGUCAAUGUUAUCUUUAAUAGAUUUUAAUUAACUAUACUAUUGUUUGCGAAGUAAAUUUUUGGAAUCAAACUCUCACAUUAAAAGUUAGAGCGGUUAAUAUCUAUAAUACCCUUAAUGAAUUUUAUAUAUAAUUAAUUAUAUAAUCAAAAACUAAUUUUUAUUAAUAAUAUUAACUUUUUUAAAAACAAGAUAAUUCAUAUAUAUUGUGUUGUUAUCUUAAAACAUAUUUUCAAUUAUAAAAUAUAAAACAAUUAUAAUAAAUUCAGUGGUUAAAGUCAAUGUUAUCUUUAAUAAAUUUUAAUUAAACAUAUAUAUUUAAUUAGAUUUUUGUCAUAUAUAUAUGUUUGAUUUAUUUUUUUUUAAAACAUAAAUAAUAAUUUAUUAUGCUGGUUUUUGAAUUAAUAAAAAAUAAACUAAUAAAUAUUUGUAAAACGAUUAACUCCGCAUAUGCGGGCAAGACACCUAGUUGCCUUUUAAUAUGCUAAGCAUUCAUUAAUAUAAAGUGUGUGAACAAUAUUUUAGAUAUAUUUAGCCAACAAACAAUAUCACAGAUAUUGUUGUCUAUUUUAUAUUUUCCCGUUUUAUUUUGUCAACAUCAUCUGUGAGUUGUAAUAAAGCUUUUUAACCCGACUUAAAAGUAUAAAUAUAAUUUUCCCCGUAAUUGGGCAAGAGUAUUUUCAGUUGUUACAUAAACUAGAGGGUUUGCCCGGGCUACGCCCGGGUUAUUUGUUUAUAAUUUUUUGAUUAUUUAUAAAUAAUUUAAAAUCAAUAAAUCGGAAAGUGCCAACAACAUUAAAGCAAAUGAAAAUAGAUAUUUUAUAUUGUUGUCUUGUUGAAUUUAAUGUUUGAUCUUCUAUAUUCUUUUUGCAUUUUCAUAUUAAUUAUAUAUUGUUUAAUUUGAUGCAUAUGUUUUUUUUUCUGAAACUACCAAUAAACAUCAUCGUUGGGUUUAACUAAAAUAUGAUUCGUAGCAAGUUGAGUUCGUUAACUUUUCUAUAUUUUUUUAUAAAUUUACACACGAUAGACUAAAUGAUAAGCUAAUGAGAAAGAUCGUAUUGAAACCUAAACCAGCUUGGGAUAUGCGUGUGCGUGUGUGAUGACGACAUGGAGAUUAUAAUGGAUAUGGGCUAUGGAGAUAAUUAAAUCCAGCGAGUUUUCUUAUGAGGCCAAAUCGUUUGGAUUUAUUAAUUGAAUUGAAAAUAUGAAAACAAUUUAUUUGAAAGAAACGGGAAAGCUUUUAAGGAAAGAUAAUUCAAUUGACCAAAGACAAAGUCUGAAAUGAAAUGAAACAAAGCAAUGUCUUGCUGAAAACCAAAAUAGUACUUAAACUGAAGCAAACUUUCAGAAACCAAUGCAAUACUUGAAGUUCAAAGCAAAGACUUAAACAUCACUGAACUGAAGCUUCAAUUCUCACAUCUUGGCCGUUUGACUUUCUCUGGAUCAACACUUUCAAACGUCCUCUUACUCUCCUCAUCUGCAGAAUCUCCAUGGCUUUUUGAAGAACCACAUACGUCACUUCCAGUCUGCACUGCUUCCUCGGACGUUGCAGCAAUGGCGUUUCCAAGAGAGGAUUCUGUGGGUGAUGGUGUGUCUAGAGGGAGGAUCUUGGUGACAGUUAUAGCUCGGGUGCUGCCAGAGAAGUUGUGGUCUGUGACUUUCACACAAAAUUUAUGGGUCUGCCCGAUUGUGCUGAUCAGAGAUUCCGGGACAGGCACCUCAUGGUCAGGGCCUUUGUCUUUAUUAGCCUUGUAUUCAAAUACAGUAGUGUGAGUUUAAAUAAGUUGAGAGUAUAAACUGAUAGAAAUUUACCUCAAAGUAUCUGCUAACCAACUCAGAUGCGUGCCUCCCAGUCAACUGAAGACCAGCAUCACCAAGCAGGACAAAAAAAGCUUGUUCACUGCUGUCAUAAACAGAAAUCUUUGCACGGUACCUGUUAUGUAAGAAUCAGAAGUUAAUAAUCCAAAACUUAUAUAAGGAAAAAUGUAAUUGAAUAUUGAGGCCAGUGAACAUACUGUGCAACACCAGCUGUGCUGUCCUUCACACAUUUUGGGUUGGUGCAAAUCAAUGAGUUUGCGCCUUUGGUAGCCUUACUAUGGCACUCAGCGCAUGCAAUAUAGUACCAAGGAGAUCCAUGAACAACAUCAUCAAUUGUAGCAGUGCACUCAAAAAAGGCAUCCUGCAACAGUUCAAAAGCAUUUGAUAUAAAUAGAUAAGCGCUUAAAAAUUGGCAAGUAAUAGUUAGAUUUGUAUUUACCUUUGCAGAUUCCUGAGUCAUGUAAGAGAAUAUUUCUCCUAUGGUCAUCGUCUCCCGCUUAGUGACCACCUCUGCAGUAACCUGCUUAGCAAUCUCUGGGUUUGAGGCGAGCCUAACAAUAAAUAGAAAGCAUUGCUUCAGUCAAUCACUUCAAUUUGUGUAACUAUGUGCUCAACACGAACGUUUGUAGCUGGGGGUACAUACCAGGUGAAGUAAUCAAUGGUUGGUUGGACAUCAUAGUCCAUGAAAACCCGUGUGGGAGACAUAGAGCUCAGUGCCAGAGUACCUGUUCGAUAAAGUAAGAAGCAUUAAAAAUGAUAGUGUCUAGAAAUAGCAGCCAAUUUAAAAGAAAAAAGCGUUUUUAGAAUGUUUAAUAAGCUAAAACGUUACACAAUGAUCAGUGAAAACGUGAAUCCAAAGGGAUAAUUGAUUACCUCCGAGACGUUUAGUGUUAACAGCUGUGACCAAAAGCACUGUGGGAGUGUUUUCAUAGGACUUAAACUUCUUGCAGAAUUCUGUUGCAGCCUGGUCCCAUAGGUAGAGCUUCAUGACAGGUCCUCUGCAAAAAAAAAAAAAAAACUCUUAGGGACUUAGGAACUAAAGAGAGAUGGUGUAUUAAAAAUAGAAGAACACACUUACUCAUGUGAUUGCACAUGAACCAUAACGUGCCGAGUGGUAGCGAUCUUCGCUUCAUCAACAGUGGGACGCUCGGUAAGAGUCUGUCCAUCCACCAGCUUCAUGUGACCAACAACAUCUAUAACAUUUAUCAUAAAGAAAGUAAUUCAGAUGUCUAAUAUAAAACUAAAGAGAGAAAUACUUGAACUAAUUAUUUAACCCAACAAAGUUCUAUAAUUCUUUAACAAACAUGAAGGCAAACCAAAACUACAUAAAAUAUAAAGUAAUGUAUGCUUACCAUAGAGGUCACCUUUGAGAUCACAGUUAGCCUCAAAAUCCUCAUACGAAUGAAACCUGAAACGGUCUUCAUCAAAAGAGAUUGGAAUGUCGAGAAGAACCGACAACUCAGAGUUCCAUGUGAAGGACACGGUUGCGAUAUGGUCAGCAACCCGAUACAUCGGUUUGUUCUUCGAUCCGUAGAAGUUGAUGAGUUUGUAAACUGAUCCUUGCUUCAUAUCAGGCAAGUAUUUCUUGAUACGUCCUGGUGGGAUGAAUCCUUGAAUGACACUUCCCUAUUGUCGGAAAAUAAUAAAAAACACGAAAUGAGAAUCAAAUCUCGGAAUUUAAACAUAUACGAUACCAAACAAAUAUGUUUUAGAAAACGUCAAAACCACGGUUCAAAGUUUUAUUAACUAAUCUAACCUAACUAAUUAACCCUUACACAGAUAUCACGGUCUAGAAACAAUUUUUAUUGUCGGAAAAGAAUAACAAAACACGAAAUGGGAACCAAACCUCAGAAUCUAAACAGAUACGAUAUCAGACCCUACAAAAUAACUUAACACCCGUAUAAAAAAAUGUGAAAAUCAAUUUUUUAAGUUUUAUUUACAAAACUAAUUAAUCACGGUUCAAAUUUUAAUUAACUAAUCUAACAUAACUAAUUAACCCUAACCAAAUCUGACGGUCUUGAAAAAUCUUGAGAGAAUUGACGUACCUGCUCAUCGAUGAGAAGCAUUUCCAGGCCAAUAAGGGUCUUCUUCACCGGGUUCCGAGCCUCCCAGAAAUGAAUGAGUCGGAAGCGCAAUUGGGUUUCAUGGGGACCUAGAGAGACAUCUUUGAAGAACAUCACUUUUUCGUCAGAGGCGGAAGAGGCAGGAGACUUCCCAUUUCGUUUCAUCGCCAUGGCUUGAGAUCUGAGUAUUUCUAGGGUUUUGUUUAGUACGAAGAAGAAAGAUCAACAUAUAAAGGAGGAGGAAAAGAGGGAGGUGAAACGAAAUCAUAAUGGAGGUAUUGAUUGAUCAAAACAAAAGUAUUGAUUGCGGAGGUUGAAUCGAUUGAUUUUACGAUUCGUUGAUCUUCGAUCGGAGAAAACGAAGUGGAAAGGGUGAGGAGAAUCGUCAUUUUGCGAAGUCGAAUCUGAUUUUUGUCCCAAAGACAAAACACCCCGAAGCCCAAAUCGCAAUCAUAUAGCCCAAAGCGUAAUCACGAAACCCACAGAAUAUUAGUAAACUUUAGCCGAAAGAAAACGUGAGUCUGACGUGGCAAAAUAAAUGUACCUGAUUGGCCUGAAUAAAAAAGCAUACGUGGCACUCUCGUUGCUCUGAUUAUUCUGCUUUUAGUAGUAUAAGAUGAAAUAAUGGGAAAUAAUUCUAGUGAGAGCAAUUUCCAUCCAAUCAAGAGGCAGGUUGACCCCAGCAGCACCUCCUCCUGAAGCAAUCAUCUCUUCGCCAGCCCGAUAAUAAAUAUAAUUUUCUUAAUUUAGAAUAUCGGUACCAUCUUUGAGUAUAGAACGAUAAACAGAACCGAAAACUCGGUUUAGUACCCGGUAAUCUUCUACAGUUAAUCCAAGCUAAGAGUUCUUGAAAAUUUGAAAGUAUAAUUCGAUCUUCUUCUCCAUUUUACAGUAACUCAAAGAUUCCAGAGCCUUAAUAUUUACUAUGAUAAGCUUGGACCAUUUAUUUAUUUGUUUUAAAAAUCUGAUAUUCUGUCCAAAACUUAAAAUGUUUCAUGAAUGCAAACGAAAUUUAUUCAAAUUGUUUUCAAUCACACAUAAAUAUACAAUCUAUCGUAUAUUUUAGAAUUGAAAAAAAUUGACAUGUGUUGUUAGCUGGUUUUCUUAAAAUCCAAAAAAAUAUGUCACUGUUAUUUUGAAACUUUUGGAAUCAAUAAAUAUUUAUUCAUUUAUAUUUUUUUAAAUCAAUUUUAUAGCUAAAAUUCGCCUCAACGUUAUUUUAGUAAAAAAUGAUAAAAUUGGAGUUCCCACAUUUUACAUUUUAUCAGAACCGGGUGGAUUACUUCCCGGUUCUCAUGUGAUAUCUAUACUAUUAAAGCAGAAUCCCUACUAGGAUUCUGCUAUUAGUUUUUGAGUUAUUUACGUAUAAAUAAAUAAAUAACCUAAAAUCUAGCUUAAAGAAAGAUUUAAUCAAUAUAUUUAAAUGUCACCAACCGUAAAUAAAUCAAUGAUUAUAUCUUUGGCCAUUAAUGACCUGAUUCUACCGAAUCUAUAGUUGUUACUAUAAACAAGGAUUUCAUAACAAUACAUAGGUAAGAAUAUUUUUGAUGUUCAUUAUUAUUGAAUGAAUAUGUUUGGGCACUAACAUCUAAAAUAAUUAUAUCCUCAUAUUCUUAUUUAAAAAUGAUUAUAGCACAAAAUUUUAAAUUAUUUAAAAAAUGAUUAAAACACGUUUAUAUUAUAUAAUAUGUCAGCAAACCCGGUAUAUAUAGAUGCAUAUAUUUGGUAUUGAUUUUUGUUAAAAACGGUUUCUAUAUAAACCCAAAUAAACAUUUAAAUAUUCUAGGAGAAAAACUAAACAUAUAAUCUUAUAUUAUUAUUAAAUAAAUAAAACACAUAAUCUUAUAUAUCUUAAUCAGGAUCCGUUUGGUUUUGAUUUGAGUCUAUUCGGAUUUCAGAUUUUUAGGCUUAUAGAUUUAAAUCCUAUUCUAAACAUUACGGGUUUGGUUUGGGUAUCCAUUUAAAUUAUGUAAACAAUUGAAAAAUUAAAAUGUACCUUAAAUUCUAAAAACCCGAAACUUAAAUAAUAUAAAACAUAUAAAUUUAAAUAAUGUAAAAGUAAAUAUAUAAAAUUAAAAUAAAACUGGAUUUAUUUGGAAAUUAUGAUGGAAAACAAGUUUUUAGAUAUUUCCGGUGUUUUGAGCAUUUUAUGGUUCCCGAAAUAUUUUGUUCGAGUCGGGUUUGAAUCUGGUUCUUCCUAUAUUAAAUUGUAUACCCAAUCAUGUAUUAAUCAAUUUUGGUUUAAGUUCGGUACUACUCUUCGGAUCGGGUUUGAUUCAGUUCUUUGGGUCCUGAUAUGUUGCCCAGCUCUAUCAUUUAUGACAAAAAAAAUUAUAAAAAUAAAAUUUGACCAAAGCAAGACAUAGACGAUGUAUUACUCCGUUUCAGUUUUUAACUUUUAAAAUAAUCUAAAACAAAUGAGAGACAUGCCAACGCUUAUUUAAAUAAAACUUAAAAUAUAUAACUUUAGAUAGAAAUUAUAGUUUAUAAUAAACUAAGUUUUGUAAACAAAAUAAUCCCGCGCUUUCAAAGCGCGGAUCAAAAUCUAGUAAUUAGUUAAAUUCAAACUAAUUUUGUGAUCUGAGUAAAAAUUGAUCCAAAACCGGUACACAACUUAACCAGCGAAAACGGGUUUUCGUAACCGUUUCUCUUAGCUUUUCCUCGAGAUUCUUUCUGCUAAGCGGAAACCCGACGACAGAGAAGCAACAACACCAGAGGAGGAGAGAAGCGAAGUCCACAACGAAGACGAGAAAGCGAGAGAGAUUCUAACCUCUCUCUCUCG
Molecule: long non-coding RNA, 8513 nt
Filed under: Brassica napus (rape)
Lineage: Eukaryota; Viridiplantae; Streptophyta; Magnoliopsida; Brassicales; Brassicaceae
Description: long non-coding RNA (BNAP_LNC008939)
Source: RNAcentral